This 73-nucleotide transfer RNA is filed under the name Micromonospora peucetia. RNAcentral describes it as "tRNA_Pseudo_CAT". The record is from RNAcentral. Lineage: Bacteria; Bacillati; Actinomycetota; Actinomycetes; Micromonosporales; Micromonosporaceae.
GGGGUCCUGGUCAUAGCACUGAAAGCCACUCAUAAUCCCUCGGUCGCGGGUUCGAGUCCCGCCCGCCCCACCA